RNAcentral lists this microRNA precursor (52 nucleotides) under Ciona intestinalis (vase tunicate). RNAcentral's name for it is "microRNA cin-mir-4051 precursor". Lineage: Eukaryota; Metazoa; Chordata; Ascidiacea; Phlebobranchia; Cionidae. The record is from miRBase by way of RNAcentral.
UUCAACCAUCACGGCACUAUUGGGUUAAACACCCAAGGUCGAGGUGAUUGAA